AAUCCAUGGUGAGGGCAGUCACGUUUAUACUCUUUAAAAUGCUCACAGGCUUCAUAGAAAGGUUCAUCCGGUCCUUGCUGAAAACUUGAGAUCUUGGUUCUCAACAGU
This 108-nucleotide small nucleolar RNA is filed under the name Eutrema salsugineum. RNAcentral's name for it is "Plant small nucleolar RNA R71". It matches the Rfam family "Plant small nucleolar RNA R71". Rfam says of the family: R71 is a member of the C/D box family of snoRNAs containing the C (UGAUGA) and D (CUGA) box motifs. Multiple nearly identical copies of this snoRNA have been identified in Arabidopsis, and it is thought to function as a 2'-O-ribose methylation guide for 18S ribosomal RNA. Lineage: Eukaryota; Viridiplantae; Streptophyta; Magnoliopsida; Brassicales; Brassicaceae. The record is from Rfam by way of RNAcentral.